AAAGUGACAAAUAACUGUUUGAAAAUGUUUAUAUAUUCUUGCCAUAUUUCAAAACUUUGAAGGUUUUUUAAAAGUGAAAACAACCUAAAUUAAGUAAAUGAAAAACUACAUGGAAAUCUCAAGCUUUCUAACACACAUGCCUAGCAGAAUUUCACUUUUCUAACAUAAAAAGAUUAAUACUACGGCAACUAUGCAUUACAGAGCAUUCAAAUGCUCUUUUGACUUUUAAAUCAAAUUAUUUCACUGUAGGGCAAUGUAGUCACACUGAUACCAGCUGUACUAAAUCUCAAUUUUCAGCCAGAUAAAACUGAGAUGGCAUGAUUUAGAACAAUUCAAUAACACCCAUAAAAUUUUUACUACAUUCCAAAGGUAAAAAAUGUUUAAGAGCAAGAAAAAUAAUUACAUGAGGCAUCUUAUUACAAAAUGUAGUGUAUGGUUUUGAUUUCCCAUUGAAAACUAAUUCAAAAAUCCCACUGCACUCAGCUAGUCACCCCAUAGAACUUUAAUAGAAUAAAGGUAGAAUAAAAACGAUUUGCAAAAAAUAACCUUAUACAGAAAAACAAGAAACAGCAGCUAUUUAUCAUGUGAUGGUGCUUGAAAAGAGCCAGCAAAAGCUUCUAAGCAACAAAGAGAGCGCUUUUUGGUCGUGCCUAUGUAGUGCAGGCACCUCCCAGCCUGCUUUCCACAGCUCUCUCCGUAUUUAAAGGCUGAUGUGGUGUUUAAAUGGAGAGGCGGUGACGUGGGGCUGGAAAGCACCUUCCCAUCCUGGCAGAGUCUAUAUUAGAGAGCGGCAAUGGCUCUAUAUAAACAGGGCAGCCACAGGGAGGAGGAACACAAGGAGCAGGGAGUGAGAAAAGCAAGGGGAAGCCAUGAUGGAUCUGAGAGCACAAAAUGAGAGCCUCCAAAUCAGCAUCAGGACUUCGGCUGAUAACACAGCUCAUGAUCUGUAGUUAAUGUAAUCCAAGUGAGUGUUUACCAUUUUCUGAACUGGUAAUAGACCAUGUGUGGGAAAGAUGUACCAUUGCAAAUAUUGUUGGAUAUCAUCUCCACCUGGUCCCAUCCGCAUGGGUAAUACUUGGCCAUGAAGAGAGACAGAGCUUGUUAGACUUGUUCCCCAUCUUAUCCCUGGUUAGGUUUUCCCUGAGGUUUUUUUUUUCUCAAUUGCUUUAAUAAAUGAUCAUUGUAAGUCAACCAAACCUUUUGUUGUCAUUAUUAUUAACUUUUUGGAAAAAGUAAGUGUCCAUAUUAGACAAUUAAAACCAGCUGUGUUAGGUUGCAUCCUAAAAGGAGAAAAAGAUCAUAAGGAGAAAAAGAAUAGAAACAGAUUUGAAAUUAUCUGUUUUUUAUGGUGUACAAGUAUGCUCUUCUAAUUUACAGCAAUAUGACAGAAAGGAUUAUUAAAUCUGAUCUUUAUUUGCAUAUUAUUGAUAAUGGAUAUUGGUCUCUUGAGAAAUUGAUGCCAGUAAUGGCAUGCUUAUUCUUUUAAUUUGCUUAAUGAUCAGUGUGGAAUAUAUUUAAAUAGCUGAAAUUCAUUUUGAUCCAUCUCUUGAUGAAAAUUUAUAACUAGCUAUGUUCUGCUUUUAUUGAUUUUAGUCUUUUUUUAAAUUUUCUGACUUUAGAUUGUUAUCUGGCAGUAUGAGAAAUUAAGUAUCAAUAUUUUUGUUUGUAUUGUAAUGUCUAUUUUUAAAACAAUCUAUGCAUCUUCUUAUAUUAUAAACACAUUCACAUUGUGUACUUUUUAUUGCAGUUUAACUCGUAUUGCUAGAUUUUUUUUUACCCAUUAUUAGAGUAACACUAGCAAUAUCAAACCACAAGAUGGCAAUAGUUCUCAAAAGGAAGAAAUUAAAUAAGAAGUGGUGAAGUUUCUUCAUUUUGGAAUUAAACCAAAACAAUUCACAAAAGUGUCAAACGUUGUAAAAUUCUGAUGUUGCUGGGCUAACAAUAAAAUCUACUUAAAAAGGAGAAAUGAUAUAUGUUUCCACUAAGAAUUUGUAUGUACAUAGGAGUUUCCUUUUCUUUUUUUGGCUCCACUCUUGUGCCAAAUUGUUAACCAAACUAUAAAGAAACUGGAUCUAAUAGAAAAUAAAAUCUAUAAUUGUG
This is a long non-coding RNA of Thamnophis elegans (Western terrestrial garter snake), 2100 nucleotides long. RefSeq lists it as uncharacterized. Lineage: Eukaryota; Metazoa; Chordata; Lepidosauria; Squamata; Natricidae. The transcript is spliced from 3 exons. The record is from RefSeq and is a predicted model, not a curated record.